GACGAACGCUGGCGGCGUGCUUAACACAUGCAAGUCGAACGGAAAGGCCCUGCUUUUGUGGGGUGCUCGAGUGGCGAACGGGUGAGUAACACGUGAGUAACCUGCCCUUGACUUUGGGAUAACUUCAGGAAACUGGGGCUAAUACCGGAUAGGAGCUCCUGCUGCAUGGUGGGGGUUGGAAAGUUUCGGCGGUUGGGGAUGGACUCGCGGGUUAUCAGCUUGUUGGUGGGGUAGUGGCUUACCAAGGCUUUGACGGAUAGUCGGCCUGAGAGGGUGACCGGCCACAAUGGGACUGAGAUACGGACCAGACUCCUACGGGAGGCAGCAGUGGGGAGUAUUGCACAAUGGGCGGAAGCCUGAUGCAGCAACGCCGCGUGCGGGAUGACGGCCUUCGGGUUGUAAACCGCUUUCGCCUGUGACGAAGCGUGAGUGACGGUAAUGGGUAAAGAAGCACCGGCUAACUACGUG
Molecule: ribosomal RNA, 468 nt
Filed under: uncultured bacterium
Lineage: Bacteria
Description: partial 16S ribosomal RNA
Rfam family: Bacterial small subunit ribosomal RNA
Source: RNAcentral